This 263-nucleotide ribosomal RNA is filed under the name uncultured bacterium. RNAcentral describes it as "partial 16S ribosomal RNA". It matches the Rfam family "Bacterial small subunit ribosomal RNA", at positions 524 to 786 of the family's 1533-position model. The record is from RNAcentral.
UACGGAGGAUCCGAGCGUUAUCCGGAUUUAUUGGGUUUAAAGGGUGCGUAGGCUGGGGAUUAAGUCAGUGGUGAAAGUUUGCGGCUCAACCGUAAAAUUGCCGUUGAUACUGGUUCUCUUGAGUACAUUUGAGGCAGGCGGAAUGUGGUGUGUAGCGGUGAAAUGCAUAGAUAUGCCACAGAACACCGAUUGCGAAGGCAGCUUGCUAAGAUGUCACUGACGCUGAAGCACGAAAGCAUGGGGAUCAAACAGGAUUAGAUACC